UAUACUCCCGGUGCGGUCGGUUCACGCGCGGCCUCGGGUCGUGCGUGUCGCAAGAGGGAACCCGGUGCGAAUCCGGGACUGCCCCGCAGCGGUAUGUGGGAACGAACGCCGUUUUUCGAGCACUGGACGCCACGGCGUCGGGGAAGCGACGGCCAGUAGGAGACGUGACGCGCCGCGUCACGCCGUGCCCGCGAGUCCGAAGACCUGCCACCGCCCGUGGUCGCGC
This 226-nucleotide non-coding RNA is filed under the name Marinactinospora thermotolerans. Lineage: Bacteria; Bacillati; Actinomycetota; Actinomycetes; Streptosporangiales; Nocardiopsidaceae. The record is from RNAcentral.